UCCAGACUCCUACGGGAGGCAGCAGUGGGGAAUAUUGCACAAUGGGGGAAACCCUGAUGCAGCGACGCCGCGUGAGCGAUGAAGUAUUUCGGUAUGUAAAGCUCUAUCAGCAGGGAAGAAAAUGACGGUACCUGACUAAGAAGCCCCGGCUAACUACGUGUCAGCAGCCGCGGUAAUACGUAGGGAGCAAGCGUUGUCCGGAAUUACUGGGCGUAAAGGGAGCGUAGACGGCGGCGCAAGUCCGGAGUGAAAGCCCACGGCCCAACCGUGGGACUGCUCUGGAAACUGUGCGGCUUGAGUGCGGGAGGGGCAGGCGGAAUUCCUAGUGUAGCGGUGAAAUGCGUAGAUAUUAGGAGGAACACCGGCGGCGAAGGCGGCCUGCUGGACCGUAACUGACGUUGAGGCUCGAAAGCGUGGGGAGCAAACAGGAUUAGAUACCCGCGUAAC
RNAcentral lists this ribosomal RNA (447 nucleotides) under uncultured bacterium. RNAcentral describes it as "partial 16S ribosomal RNA". It matches the Rfam family "Bacterial small subunit ribosomal RNA", at positions 330 to 794 of the family's 1533-position model. The record is from RNAcentral.